CAUUCAUGACAUUCCUAGGUACUUACAGGUUUAACAAUAUGUUGAAUGAUUUAACAGUUAUUUUUCAAGCUAUGGCAACCGCAUUCUCGUAUCAGGGUUAUGUAGUCGCUAUGAAACAGGUUGGCAAGUUAGUGACACUUAUACUGUAGGUACCCAUAUCGAAGUAAGCUUGUAGUGAGUAACUUGUACAAUGUUCUGAUAUAUGUUAACUAGUUAAAGCAUAAUAAAGAUUAAUAAUUACGUUAGCUCCGGUUAGGUCACUG
Molecule: non-coding RNA, 263 nt
Organism: Pelobates cultripes (western spadefoot toad)
Lineage: Eukaryota; Metazoa; Chordata; Amphibia; Anura; Pelobatidae
Source: the annotation of a GenBank genome assembly